UUCUUCUUCUUCUUCUUCUACCUUUCAAAUUGAUGCUCGUCUUCCUAAAGAGAUCAGCUGGGGAACCAUAGAGUUUCUUCAAUGGGAAGGCUUCUGGUAUGCAAAACCUCACCUUGCAGCCAUCAUGGCUGCAAGGUCACACUUCAAAGCUCGAGACGAAGAUGUCAUCUUAGCUUCCUCUAUGAAGACAGGGAGCACCUGGCUCAAGGCUAUUAUACCCUGCAUCAUCAACAGUAAGACUUCUGCUGCUGGUGAUGGAAAUGGUGACAAUAUUGAUGAGGAAGAAGACUAUGAUCCUUUUGUCGAACACCACCCCAAUGACCUUAUGCCAGCUUUAGAAACCCAGAUUUUUCGCCAAGAUCCAAAUGCCGAUUUAUCAGGUAUGCCUUCUCCUAGACUUUUGAGAACCCAUAUGCCAUAUUCAAUUCUGCCAGAGUCCAUCAAGAUUGUCUACAUCACUCGAGACCCUAAGGAUGUGUUUGUGUCCUUGUGGCAUUUCUUGAACACAAGGAUUUCAUGCCCUUUAAAUGAAGCAUUUGAGAGCUUUUGCAAUGGAGUACACCCUUUUGGGCCUUUCCAUGACCAUGUUUUAGGGUACUGGAAAGAGAGUCUGAAGAGGCCUGAAAAGAUACUAUUCCUGAAAUAUGAAGAGCUAAAGAGUGACCCAACAGGGCAAGUCAGAAAAUUAGCUUCUUUUCUUGGAAGGCCUCUUGUUCAAGUGGAUGAAGUGGACAAACUGGUCUGGAAGUGCAGCUUUGAGAGGCUGAAAAACUUGGAGAUUAACAGAACUGGGGUAGACCCUCAUCUUGGGUUUACCAAUAAAUCAUAUUUCAGGGUUGGUUUGGUUGGAGAUUGGAAGAACCACUUAUCUGCAGAGAUGAGGAAACAUCUGGACAAAAUUACACAAACGAAGCUGGAGGGGUCCGGGUUAGAAUUGUAAUUCUCUCCUAUAGGAAUGUGACACCCUGCUUAUGCAAUUAAUGAUCGGAUUACUG
RNAcentral lists this unclassified non-coding RNA (995 nucleotides) under Hevea brasiliensis (rubber tree). Lineage: Eukaryota; Viridiplantae; Streptophyta; Magnoliopsida; Malpighiales; Euphorbiaceae. The record is from RNAcentral.